CACGUAGGGUGCGAGCGUUGUCCGGAAUUAUUGGGCGUAAAGAGCUCGUAGGCGGUGUGUCGCGUCGGCCGUGAAAACCUGCAGCUUAACUGUGGGCUUGCGGUCGAUACGGGCAUCACUGGAGUUCGGCAGGGGAGACUGGAAUUCCUGGUGUAGCGGUGAAAUGCGCAGAUAUCAGGAGGAACACCGGUGGCGAAGGCGGUUCUCUGGGAAUAUCCUGACGCUGAGGAGCGAAAGUGUGGGGAGCGAACAGG
Molecule: ribosomal RNA, 254 nt
Filed under: uncultured bacterium
Lineage: Bacteria
Description: partial 16S ribosomal RNA
Rfam family: Bacterial small subunit ribosomal RNA
Source: RNAcentral